CUUCAGUCCACAAAGAGAGGAGGAAGGGAGGGGAGGAGCUGAGAUCGGCAGUUAAGUACAGUGUAAGAGGUGUAGGUAUGAGCUGGAAGGCUGUGCCUGGGGUUCAGAUGCGAGCCUGUGCUUCUCAGGAGAAUUGCUGAUGGAUGCCCCUGACUGGGUUGGGAGAAGCUGGGCAGGAGUAGAGGGAAAGAACUGAUGCGACCCAGGUGGUUACAGGAAGGAGGUAAAGGAAGCUAGAAGGUUAAGGGGGGCGGAGUCACUUUCUAUGAGCAACAAAGGGAAAUCUGGGAGUGCAGGAACCUGGAAGGUCAUGUGGUAUAGAAAGGGAAGAGAGACAACUCUGAAAACUGUAAAACAAGCUGCCGCUGUGGUCUGAAUCAAGUCCUUUAGAAGCUCGCUGAGAAAUCUUCUCUUCCUUCCCAAGUCUCCUUCAAUCCCAUAGAGAACCAACACAAGAGGGAAAGAGGAAGAGUCGGAGCAGAGUCUCUUCCUAAAAGCCACCAUCUGUGGGCGUGAGUGUCUUUGGUCCACGGAUUUCUCCUAAGACCCAUGAUGAUUUUGAUGAGAGAGUAUUGAUUUUAUGGUUCAUUGGGGCCUUGGACAUCCAUCAAUGGGGAACUGUGCAGCUGUGAUGAGAAAUGUGUCUAUUGCUGCUUUCUCUGUAGACUCCGCAGGAUGCAUUGUUACCUGAAAAAAACAAGAUGGAGGAAAGUAUAUAAUAUGCUACCAUUUAUCCACAAGAGGUGGCAGGGAUAUGAAUAUGUAUUUGCUUAUAUUUAAAAUCACGACAACAAAGCAAGAGCAUAAUAAAAAAAUGGAAAAAAUUUUAAAAAUUGGUCACCUAUAUUGGGAACAGGGUGGAGGAAACAUUGAUAAAACUACACUUUUUGACUACACAGAGAGGAAUUAUUUCAAGUGACUUUAAAAAACAGUAAUUUAACAUAUAAGCUUAGUGGGAUAUACCCUAAGAAUAAAAAGAACUGCAAACAUGCCUUAAGCUGCAUUCAGUUAUCAUGCUGCUUGUAAUAAUAUUAGCACCACUGUUCUGAAACUAUGGUAUGUAGUAUAGUAUAUGGCCAAUAUGUAAUUAUGCUUAUAUUAUUAAGAACCUAGAUGUUAGUAUGAGAAAAAGACAUAAAACCAAAGAAAUACAAAUCCUAUAAUCCUAAACUUAAAUAGAAAACAUCAGUAUGAGCUCAUGAUAUAUUUCUCAUAAGAACAAAACAAAACAAAAUUAAAAACCUUGUUUCCUUUCCCAGCUCUGCCCACCAAUGAGGGCUAGAAACGCUGCCCAGCCCGGUAGCAAUGACUCUCGUAGCACCAGACUGUCGUCUCUUAUACUAUGUCCCGCUAAAAGGAAGCUGCAUUCACACACAGCUAAUUUCAAGACUGGAGCAGGGAAAGUUCAAGAAGGUCCUGGGAUGUACUACCAUACAAUAAAGCAAGAAGUUUUCAGUGACCACCAAAACAGCAGCAAGAAGGAUUCAGAAGCCGAUUUGAGUGAUCAAGUCUACACAGUACUGCCCAUUAGAGAGGGAGAGAGCAGGAGAGCAGGGGACAGCAGACUUAUUAAAAGACACCACGUGGAUGCAAUCAGCAAACUGCAGAAUGUUGGAAAUUCUACCGGACAAAGUGACUCAGUUUCUUCACCAUAUCGAUGGCAAGGAGGGAAAAGAGGGAGGAUGUGCAGCUGAUGCUGUCGGUGCCCACUCGUAUCUUUUGUGUCUGUCACUGUGCUCAACCUGACUUCCAGUGAUCAGUAGCUGCCUCUGUGCCAAAAACCUUUUUCCCCCUGAACCGUGGAAGGCUGCUCUGCCCACUUUUGGAAAGAACUGACCCCAGAAGCAGCCCUCAGUCAAUGACUAAAUAAAGUGGAUGAAGAACCAUGCCAACCCCUUCAACUCUCAGGGGAUAAUCUUGAGGGGUGUGUGUGUGUGUUUAUACCUUUUCCACAAAUUUCCCCGCAGGAUUAAGCUUCAGCCCCACAUUGGUAAAUGGUUUAAUAGUGCUCCCUUGGCUGGUCUUUCUCUUCCCUGUAUCAUUUUCUUUCUCCCUAUGGUGUCCCUUGCACUUCCCAAAUAAAUACAUAUAUUGAAUCCUUGUCUUAGGGUCUACUUCUGGAGGAAGGAACUCAAACUCAGGCAGAGGGAGAACCAUAGAUUUUAAAAGAGACUUAAGAGGCAUGUCAACCAAUUGCGCAGUAUGGACCUUGUUAGAUCCUGAAUCAAAGAAAUUGUUUAAAGAACUUAGGAGACAAUCAGGGAAAUAUAAACACUGAAUAUUUAAUGUUACUUAAGAAUUUAUUUUUUAGGUGGCAUAAUGCUGUCAUGCUGGUGUUUAAAAUCAAGAGAAAAUAAUGAAUAUUUACAGAUAAAAUGUUACAAUAUCUGAGAUUUGAUUUCAAAUAAUGUGGGGUGCAGUUGUGGUUGGGCAUAUGACACAAGAUUGGUGAUGAGUUGAUAAUUAUUAAAACUGGGUGGUGGGUAUGUGAGGGCUCAUUAUACUAUUCUGUCUACUGUUGUAUAUGUCGGAAAUUUUCCCUAAUUAAAUACCAAAAAGAAGAUCUGAAAACUCCCUGGG
Long non-coding RNA from Equus caballus (horse), 2580 nucleotides. The record is from Ensembl. Lineage: Eukaryota; Metazoa; Chordata; Mammalia; Perissodactyla; Equidae.